This 117-nucleotide ribosomal RNA is filed under the name Lepisosteus oculatus (spotted gar). Lineage: Eukaryota; Metazoa; Chordata; Actinopteri; Semionotiformes; Lepisosteidae. The record is from RNAcentral.
UUCAGCAGCCAUAUCACUCUGCAACUCACAAUUGGCAACCCACUGAAGCGAGCAGGUGUGAGCCUGGUCAGUACCUGGAUGGGAGACCUUCUGGAACUAAGAAGGUUGCUGCUGGAA